Molecule: long non-coding RNA, 367 nt
Organism: Oncorhynchus tshawytscha (Chinook salmon)
Lineage: Eukaryota; Metazoa; Chordata; Actinopteri; Salmoniformes; Salmonidae
Source: Ensembl
CGGCGCAACAGUGUCAUUGUCAUGGAAGAAGUUGACCGAGUUUCGAAAUCAGUGGAAUGCCCGGUGAAAGCAGAGAGAUGAUUGCCAAAUUUGGAGAGAGUCCUAAAAGAGAACACAGAAAGACUGUUGUAACAUCAGUCUCCGGAUUACAUCUUUAAACUAACGGGAAACCAUGGCAUCCAGAAGGAGAAGCGUUCAACACGUACUAUAUACCGGAGCUCUAGAAAGAGGUCACCGUUCCCAAGUUGGAAUUCCAAGGUGGAUGACUGUACAAAUCGAUUUUUCCCAAUUUGGGCAUUGUCUCGACAAAGCAGUAUAUCCUUCACGUCGGACUCAUAUUAAAGAAAAACUCUUCAUCCAGUUCGAG